RNAcentral lists this ribosomal RNA (490 nucleotides) under uncultured bacterium. Its description in RNAcentral is "partial 16S ribosomal RNA". It matches the Rfam family "Bacterial small subunit ribosomal RNA", at positions 29 to 505 of the family's 1533-position model. The record is from RNAcentral.
AGUGAACGCUGGCGGUAGGCCUAACACAUGCAAGUCGAACGGCAGCACAGUAAGAGCUUGCUCUUACGGGUGGCGAGUGGCGGACGGGUGAGGAAUACAUCGGAAUCUACUUUUUCGUGGGGGAUAACGUAGGGAAACUUACGCUAAUACCGCAUACGACCUACGGGUGAAAGCAGGGGAUCUUCGGACCUUGCGCGAUUGAAUGAGCCGAUGUCGGAUUAGCUAGUUGGCGGGGUAAAGGCCCACCAAGGCGACGAUCCGUAGCUGGUCUGAGAGGAUGAUCAGACACACUGAAACUGAGACAGGGUCCAGACUCAAAGGGGGGGCAGAAGGGGGAAAUAUUGGAAAAGGGGCGAAAGCCUGAUCCAGCCAUACCGCGGGGGUGAAGAAGGCUUUCGGGUUGUAAAGCCCUUUUGUUGGAAAAAAAAAGCGGAAGGUUAAUACCCCGCUGUUCUGAGGGUACAAAAAGAAUAAGAACCGGCUAACUUCG